This 649-nucleotide ribosomal RNA is filed under the name Marinobacter sp. HPB13. RNAcentral describes it as "bacterial SSU rRNA". It matches the Rfam family "Bacterial small subunit ribosomal RNA", at positions 53 to 693 of the family's 1533-position model. The record is from RNAcentral. Lineage: Bacteria; Pseudomonadati; Pseudomonadota; Gammaproteobacteria; Pseudomonadales; Marinobacteraceae.
ACCAUGCAGUCGAGCGGUAACAGAUCUAGCUUGCUACAUGCUGACGAGCGGCGGACGGGUGAGUAAUGCAUAGGAAACUGCCCAGUAGUGGGGGAUAGCCCGGGGAAACCCGGAUUAAUACCGCAUACGUCCUUCGGGAGAAAGCAGGGGAUCUUCGGACCUUGCGCUAUUGGAUGUGCCUAUGUCGGAUUAGCUAGUUGGUGGGGUAAGAGCCUACCAAGGCGACGAUCCGUAGCUGGUCUGAGAGGAUGAUCAGCCACAUCGGGACUGAGACACGGCCCGAACUCCUACGGGAGGCAGCAGUGGGGAAUAUUGGACAAUGGGGGCAACCCUGAUCCAGCCAUGCCGCGUGUGUGAAGAAGGCUUUCGGGUUGUAAAGCACUUUCAGUGAGGAGGAAAAGUUAGUCCUUAAUACGGGCUAGCCUUGACGUUACUCACAGAAGAAGCACCGGCUAACUCCGUGCCAGCAGCCGCGGUAAUACGGAGGGUGCAAGCGUUAAUCGGAAUUACUGGGCGUAAAGCGCGCGUAGGUGGUUUGAUAAGCGAGAUGUGAAAGCCCCGGGCUUAACCUGGGAACGGCAUUUCGAACUGUCAGGCUAGAGUAUGGUAGAGGGUAGUGGAAUUUCCUGUGUAGCGGUGAAAUGCGUAG